AAUAGAUACCCAGGUAGUCCAUGCCGUAAACGUUGGAUACUAGGUGUGGCGUCCCGAUCAACGGAUGCCGUGCCGAAGCUAACGCAUUAAGUAUCCCGCCUGGGGAGUACGGCCGCAAGGCUAAAACUCAAAGGAAUUGGCGGGUCCCCGCACAAGCGGCGGAGCAUGCGGCUUAAUUCGAUGCAACCCGAAGAACCUUACCUGGGUUUGACAUCACGGGAAAAGCUGUGGAAACACAGUGUCCGUAAGGGCCCGUGACAGGUGGUGCAUGGCUGUCGUCAGCUCGUGUCGUGAGAUGUUGGGUUAAGUCCCGCAACGAGCGCAACCCUUGUCCUAUGUUGCCAGCACGUAAUGGUGGGGACUCAUGGGAGACUGCCGGGGAUAACUCGGAGGAAGGUGAGGACGACGUCAAGUCAUCAUGCCCCUUAUAUCCAGGGCUGCACGCAUGCUACAAUGGUCGGUACAACGGGCAGCAAGCUCGCGAGAGUAAGCGAAUCCCUUAAAGCCGGCCCUAGUUCGGA
This 521-nucleotide ribosomal RNA is filed under the name uncultured bacterium. RNAcentral describes it as "bacterial SSU rRNA". It matches the Rfam family "Bacterial small subunit ribosomal RNA", at positions 777 to 1297 of the family's 1533-position model. The record is from RNAcentral.